AGUUAAAAAUUUCAUCUAUACGUACUAUUAAAAACAAGUGUGACUAAUGAAAUAAUUAGACAGUGACAUAUAGUGUGUCACGUGUACAUCAUACUGACAGACAUAGGCCAGCUUUUAACCAUAAAAAUAGAUGAAAUAUUUAAUA
Non-coding RNA from Gossypium raimondii (Peruvian cotton), 145 nucleotides. NCBI's taxonomy places the organism in Eukaryota, Viridiplantae, Streptophyta, Magnoliopsida, Malvales, Malvaceae. The record is from Rfam.